AAACUCAAAGGAAUUGACGGGGGCCCGCACAAGCGGUGGAGCAUGUGGUUUAAUUCGAAGCAACGCGAAGAACCUUACCAGGCCUUGACAUGCAGAGAACUUUCCAGAGAUGGAUUGGUGCCUUCGGGAACUCUGACACAGGUGGUGCAUGGUUGUCGUCAGCUCGUGUCGUGAGAUGUUGGGUUAAGUCCCGCAACGAGCGCAACCCUUGUGUUUUAGUUGCAAACAGGUCAAGCUGUGCACUCUAGACAGACUGCCGUGGACAACACGGAGGAAGGUGGGGAUGACGUCAAAUCAUCAUGCCCCUUAUGAUCUGGGCUACACACGUGCUACAAUGGCCGGUACAACGGGCAGCGAAGGAGCGAUCCGGAGCGAAUCCUAAAAAGCCGGUCCCAGUUCGGAUUGCAGGCUGAAACUCGCCUACAUGAAGUUGGAGUUGCUAGUAAUCGCGAAUCAGAAUGUCGCGGUGAAUGCGUUCCCGGGUCUU
This 487-nucleotide ribosomal RNA is filed under the name uncultured Fusibacter sp. Its description in RNAcentral is "bacterial SSU rRNA". It matches the Rfam family "Bacterial small subunit ribosomal RNA", at positions 897 to 1382 of the family's 1533-position model. Lineage: Bacteria; Bacillati; Bacillota; Clostridia; Eubacteriales; Fusibacteraceae. The record is from RNAcentral.